CACGUAGGGGGCAAGCGUUGUCCGGAAUCAUUGGGUGUAAAGAGCUCGUAGGCGGCUCAGUAAGUCGGGUGUGAAACCCUCAGGCUCAACCUGGGGACGCCACCCGAUACUGCUGUGGCUAGAGUCCAGUAGGGGAGUGUGGAAUUCCCGGUGUAGCGGUGAAAUGCGCAGAUAUCGGGAGGAACACCAGCGGCGAAGGCGGCACUCUGGGCUGGUACUGACGCUGAGGAGCGAAAGCGUGGGUAGCAAACAGG
Molecule: ribosomal RNA, 254 nt
Filed under: uncultured bacterium
Lineage: Bacteria
Description: partial 16S ribosomal RNA
Rfam family: Bacterial small subunit ribosomal RNA
Source: RNAcentral